UCUAUAGCAGAGCUCAAGGAAGAUCAAGGGUCAAAGAGAGCUCGCUUCGAAUGAAAUGGGCAGAAGAGGAGGGCUGCAGAAAUACUCUGCAUAA
Neltuma alba is the source of this 94-nucleotide long non-coding RNA. RefSeq lists it as uncharacterized. The record is from RefSeq and is a predicted model, not a curated record. NCBI's taxonomy places the organism in Eukaryota, Viridiplantae, Streptophyta, Magnoliopsida, Fabales, Fabaceae. The transcript has 4 exons.